Molecule: ribosomal RNA, 796 nt
Filed under: uncultured bacterium
Lineage: Bacteria
Description: bacterial SSU rRNA
Rfam family: Bacterial small subunit ribosomal RNA
Source: RNAcentral
AGAGUUUGAUCAUGGCUCAGAUUGAACGCUGGCGGCAGGCUUAACACAUGCAAGUCGAGCGGAGAUGAGGUGCUUGCACCUUAUCUUAGCGGCGGACGGGUGAGUAAUGCUUAGGAAUCUGCCUAUUAGUGGGGGACAACAUUCCGAAAGGGAUGCUAAUACCGCAUACGUCCUACGGGAGAAAGCAGGGGAUCUUCGGACCUUGCGCUAAUAGAUGAGCCUAAGUCGGAUUAGCUAGUUGGUGGGGUAAAGGCCUACCAAGGCGACGAUCUGUAGCGGGUCUGAGAGGAUGAUCCGCCACACUGGGACUGAGACACGGCCCAGACUCCUACGGGAGGCAGCAGUGGGGAAUAUUGGACAAUGGGGGGAACCCUGAUCCAGCCAUGCCGCGUGUGUGAAGAAGGCCUUAUGGUUGUAAAGCACUUUAAGCGAGGAGGAGGCUACUGAGACUAAUACUCUUGGAUAGUGGACGUUACUCGCAGAAUAAGCACCGGCUAACUCUGUGCCAGCAGCCGCGGUAAUACAGAGGGUGCGAGCGUUAAUCGGAUUUACUGGGCGUAAAGCGUGCGUAGGCGGCUUUUUAAGUCGGAUGUGAAAUCCCCGAGCUUAACUUGGGAAUUGCAUUCGAUACUGGGAAGCUAGAGUAUGGGAGAGGAUGGUAGAAUUCCAGGUGUAGCGGUGAAAUGCGUAGAGAUCUGGAGGAAUACCGAUGGCGAAGGCAGUCAUCUGGCCUAAUACUGACGCUGAGGUACGAAAGCAUGGGGAGCAAACAGGAUUAGAUACCCUGGUAGUCCAA